AACCCUGUAGUAUAUACGACUCAUUAUUACAAUAAACUGCAACUUUAUUAAAGCUUUUAAGCCAGGGUUU
RNAcentral lists this transfer RNA (70 nucleotides) under Potamilus alatus. RNAcentral describes it as "tRNA-Cys". The record is from RNAcentral. Lineage: Eukaryota; Metazoa; Mollusca; Bivalvia; Unionida; Unionidae.